RNAcentral lists this ribosomal RNA (418 nucleotides) under Entamoeba histolytica. Its description in RNAcentral is "SSU rRNA". It matches the Rfam family "Eukaryotic small subunit ribosomal RNA", at positions 1034 to 1437 of the family's 1831-position model. Lineage: Eukaryota; Evosea; Mastigamoebida; Endamoebidae. The record is from RNAcentral.
AAGCAUUGUUUCUUAAUCUGAGUAUAUCAAUAUUACCUUGUUCAGAACUUAAAGAGAAAUCUUGAGUUUAUGGACUUCAGGGGGAGUAUGGUCACAAGGCUGAAACUUAAAGGAAUUGACGGAAGGGCACACCAGGAGUGGAGCCUGCGGCUUAAUUUGACUCAACACGGGGAAACUUACCAAGACCGAACAGUAGAAGGAAUGACAGAUUAAGAGUUCUUUCAUGAUUUAUUGGGUAGUGGUGCAUGGCCGUUCUUAGUUGGUGGAGUGAUUUGUCAGGUUAAUUCCGGUAACGAACGAGACUGAAACCUAUUAAUUAGUUUUCUGCCUAUAAGACAGAAAUGUUCGCAAGAACAGGUGCGUAAGUACCACUUCUUAAAGGGACACAUUUCAAUUGUCCUAUUUUAAUUGUAGUUAU